Long non-coding RNA from Cyprinus carpio carpio, 756 nucleotides. Lineage: Eukaryota; Metazoa; Chordata; Actinopteri; Cypriniformes; Cyprinidae. The record is from Ensembl.
GCAUUAUUCCAGUUUCAUCAACCUCGUUUUAAUUAACCUCUUUGAAUUAUUAACCACACGUUAUUAUCAAAUGAAGCAAAUAAUUGAGGCGCUGACUCAAUUUGUAAUUUGACGAUUUUCUACCUUUUUAAUUCACGUGUUUCCCACUUUGAAACCAAGGAAAAACAUUUUUCAGUAAUGAACAUGGACUGCUGAGACGAGAGGGAGCCGGAAUAACACUGUCUGUAGUCAGUGAACACAGACAGACUGGUCAGUCCCUUGAGGAGUCUCCAUCUGUGUGUGUGUGUCUUUCUCUCUCAGGAUGAGGUGAUAGGGCUCAGGGGAACUCUGUGCAGAAACUCUACAUGGCCCAGUAUGGGGAGAAGACAGGAAACUGCCUUUCAUUACAGUAUAGAGGCUUGCACAUGUGGGAGUGAUGUUGGAAUGACUCUUUCUUCCAGUCUGCAGGCAUCGCACCCGUCUACUGGUCUGCUAGGCAAAUCCUCUCCCAUCAAACUGCCUUGGGACCAGGAUUACUGAGAUUUUGAAAAGAGUAAAACAGAAUAUUCGAUGUGAAAAGCAUUCCACACCAUAAUGGAGCCAGACCUGAAUGUGACUUCACAAUGUCCCAUCCUGAAACGCCACCGGCUGCACCUUUUUAGACUUUUUGUCUGGGAUGUGGAAGCUGAAGAACAUCGAUGGCUCAGAACAUUAGGAGGAGCUAAGUGCGUUUUCCAGGCAUGUUGAGCUAUGAUGAUUCUCAUAUGGGGGACAAAG